Molecule: non-coding RNA, 173 nt
Organism: Candidatus Burkholderia brachyanthoides
Lineage: Bacteria; Pseudomonadati; Pseudomonadota; Betaproteobacteria; Burkholderiales; Burkholderiaceae
Source: Rfam
GUGGGCAUCGUCACAGUCCAGCCGACCUCCGUGCCGGUCGUCGCCGAAUUGCCGGGCCGCACCAGUGCGUUCCUCGUGGCGCAAGUGCGCGCGCGGGUGGACGGUAUCGUGCUGCGCCGUGAGUUCACCGAAGGCGACGACGUCAAGCAGGGCCAGCAUCUCUAUAAGAUCGA